GGAGGUACGGUGGCUCAGUGAUAGAGCAUCUGCCUUGCAUGUGGAAGGUCCCGGGUUCAAUCCCCAGCAUCUCCU
This 75-nucleotide transfer RNA is filed under the name Sphaerodactylus townsendi. RNAcentral's name for it is "tRNA-Ala". It matches the Rfam family "tRNA". From Rfam's summary of the family: Transfer RNA (tRNA) molecules are approximately 80 nucleotides in length. Their secondary structure includes four short double-helical elements and three loops (D, anti-codon, and T loops). The record is from RNAcentral. Lineage: Eukaryota; Metazoa; Chordata; Lepidosauria; Squamata; Sphaerodactylidae.